GACGAACGCUGGCGGCGUGCUUAACACAUGCAAGUCGAACGGAAAGGCCCUGCUUUUGUGGGGUGCUCGAGUGGCGAACGGGUGAGUAACACGUGAGUAACCUGCCCUUGACUUUGGGAUAACUUCAGGAAACUGGGGCUAAUACCGGAUAGGAGCUCCUGCUGCAUGGUGGGGGUUGGAAAGUUUCGGCGGUUGGGGAUGGACUCGCGGCUUAUCAGCUUGUUGGUGGGGUAGUGGCUUACCAAGGCUUUGACGGGUAGCCGGCCUGAGAGGGUGACCGGCCACAUUGGGACUGAGAUACGGCCCAGACUCCUACGGGAGGCAGCAGUGGGGAAUAUUGCACAAUGGGCGGAAGCCUGAUGCAGCAACGCCGCGUGCGGGAUGACGGCCUUCGGGUUGUAAACCGCUUUCGCCUGUGACGAAGCGUGAGUGACGGUAAUGGGUAAAGAAGCACCGGCUAACUACGUGCCAGCAGCCGCGGUGAUACGUAGGGUGCGAGCGUUGUCCGGAUUUAUUGGGCGUAAAGGGCUCGUAGGUGGUUGAUCGCGUCGGAAGUGUAAUCUUGGGGCUUAACCCUGAGCGUGCUUUCGAUACGGGUUGACUUGAGGAAGGUAGGGGAGAAUGGAAUUCCUGGUGGAGCGGUGGAAUGCGCAGAUAUCAGGAGGAACACCAGUGGCGAAGGCGGUUCUCUGGGCCUUUCCUGACGCUGAGGAGCGAAAGCGUGGGGAGCGAACAGGCUUAGAUACCCUGGUAGUCCGCGCUGUAAACGGUGGGUACUAGGUGUGGGGUCCAUUCCACGGGUUCCGUGCCGUAGCUAACGCUUUAAGUACCCCGCCUGGGGAGUACGGCCGCAAGGCUAAAACUCAAAGGAAUUGACGGGGCCCCGCACAAGCGGCGGAGCAUGCGGAUUAAUUCGAUGCAACGCGUAGAACCUUACCUGGGUUUGACAUGGAUCGGGAGUGCUCAGAGAUGGGUGUGCCUCUUUUGGGGUCGGUUCACAGGUGGUGCAUGGCUGUCGUCAGCUCGUGUCGUGGGAUGUUGGGUUAAGUCCCGCAACGAGCGCAACCCUUGUUCACUGUUGCCAGCACGUUAUGGUGGGGACUCAGUGGAGACCGCCGGGGCCAACUCGGAGGAAGGUGGGGAUGACGUCAAGUCAUCAUGCCCCUUAUGUCCAGGGCUUCACGCAUGCUACAAUGGCUGGUACAGAGAGUGGCGAGCCUGUGAGGGUGAGCGAAUCUCGGAAAGCCGGUCUCAGUUCGGAUUGGGGUCUGCAACUCGACCUCAUGAAGUCGGAGUCGCUAGUAAUCGCAGAUCAGCAACGCUGCGGUGAAUACGUUCCCGGGGCU
Molecule: ribosomal RNA, 1346 nt
Filed under: uncultured bacterium
Lineage: Bacteria
Description: partial 16S ribosomal RNA
Rfam family: Bacterial small subunit ribosomal RNA
Source: RNAcentral